This 507-nucleotide ribosomal RNA is filed under the name Myrmeleon formicarius. RNAcentral describes it as "partial 16S ribosomal RNA". It matches the Rfam family "Archaeal large subunit ribosomal RNA", at positions 1891 to 2646 of the family's 2987-position model. Lineage: Eukaryota; Metazoa; Arthropoda; Insecta; Neuroptera; Myrmeleontidae. The record is from RNAcentral.
CCUGUUUAACAAAAACAUGUCUUUUUGAUUAUAAUAUUAAGUCUGGCCUGCCCACUGAAUUUUGAAGGGCCGCAGUAUUCUGACUGUGCAAAGGUAGCAUAAUCAUUUGCCUUUUAAUUAAAGGCUAGUAUGAAUGGUUGAACGAAAUACAAACUGUCUCACUUUUAUAAUUAUAAUAAUUUAGCUUUCUAGUUAAAAGGCUUGAAUGUUAUUAGAGGACGAGAAGACCCUAUAGAACUUUAUAUAAUUUUAUGUAAAUAUUUAUAGUAAAAUAAUUUUAUUUACUUAUUUUUAUAUUUUGUUGGGGUGACAGGAAAAUUAAUAUAACUUUUUUGACGUGAAGACAUUGAUUUAUGAAUAUUUGAUCCAUUAUUAUUGAUUAUUAGAAUAAGUUACCUUAGGGAUAACAGCGUAAUUUUGUUGGAGAGUUCAUAUCUAUAACAAAGUUUGCGACCUCGAUGUUGAAUUAAAGAAAUUUUAGAGUGCAGAAGCUUUAAGUAAUAGGUC